Molecule: transfer RNA, 73 nt
Filed under: Apaloderma vittatum (bar-tailed trogon)
Lineage: Eukaryota; Metazoa; Chordata; Aves; Trogoniformes; Trogonidae
Rfam family: tRNA
About the family: Transfer RNA (tRNA) molecules are approximately 80 nucleotides in length. Their secondary structure includes four short double-helical elements and three loops (D, anti-codon, and T loops).
Source: Rfam by way of RNAcentral
GGUCGGUUAGCUCAGCCUGUUGAGUGUGGCACUAACAAUGCCAAGGUUGCAGGUUCGAUUCCUGUUCAGUCCC